RNAcentral lists this ribosomal RNA (464 nucleotides) under Vreelandella stevensii. RNAcentral's name for it is "partial 16S ribosomal RNA". It matches the Rfam family "Bacterial small subunit ribosomal RNA", at positions 339 to 795 of the family's 1533-position model. The record is from RNAcentral. Lineage: Bacteria; Pseudomonadati; Pseudomonadota; Gammaproteobacteria; Oceanospirillales; Halomonadaceae.
CUACGGGAGGCAUCAGUGGGGAAUAUUGGACAAUGGGCGAAAGCCUGAUCCAGCCAUGCCGCGUGUGUGAAGAAGGCCUUCGGGUUGUAAAGCACUUUCAGUGGGGAAGAAAGCCUUGGGGCUAAUACCCUCGAGGAAGGACAUCACCCACAGAAGAAGCACCGGCUAACUCCGUGCCAGCAGCCGCGGUAAUACGGAGGGUGCGAGCGUUAAUCGGAAUUACUGGGCGUAAAGCGCGCGUAGGCGGUCUGAUAAGCCGGUUGUGAAAGCCCCGGGCUCAACCUGGGAACGGCAUCCGGAACUGUCAGGCUAGAGUGCAGGAGAGGAAGGUAGAAUUCCCGGUGUAGCGGUGAAAUGCGUAGAGAUCGGGAGGAAUACCAGUGGCGAAGGCGGCCUUCUGGACUGACACUGACGCUGAGGUGCGAAAGCGUGGGUAGCAAACAGGAUUAGAUACCCUAGUAGUC